Molecule: transfer RNA, 72 nt
Rfam family: tRNA
About the family: Transfer RNA (tRNA) molecules are approximately 80 nucleotides in length. Their secondary structure includes four short double-helical elements and three loops (D, anti-codon, and T loops). Further hydrogen bonds mediate the characteristic L-shaped molecular structure. tRNAs have two regions of fundamental functional importance: the anti-codon, which is responsible for specific mRNA codon recognition, and the 3' end, to which the tRNAs corresponding amino acid is attached (by aminoacyl-tRNA synthetases). tRNAs cope with the degeneracy of the genetic code in two manners: having more than one tRNA (with a specific anti-codon) for a particular amino acid; and 'wobble' base-pairing, i.e. permitting non-standard base-pairing at the 3rd anti-codon position.
Source: Rfam
CGCGAGUUCAAGCAACGGUUGCUUAACUGCUUCAUAAGCAGAAUUUUGUCGGUUCAACUCCGGCACUCGCAA